AUGGUAUUCCCUGUAACUCCUCUCAGCCUUGCCUCUGCUGAGGUGAGGCAGCUCCACCUGUAUCUCCUGUGUUGUCAGUGCAGCUGCCCACUGCAAAACCCCCCUGAGCACCCCCAGUGUCCCUGGGACCAGAGCUCCCUGUUCCCACUGCAAACUCUGCAGCACAGACAGAAAAGGGGCUUUUCAGCAGAAAACCCAGCUCAGAGGGGUGCUGUGGUGCCCUUUAUUCACCCCCUGCCUUGGAGGGGUGUAGUGAGCUGUCUCCAGCUCAUUGCCUUCAGGAAUUGUGGGCUCCAGGGGGAUCCAGCCCUGCUCAGGGGCUGCAGCAGGCAGGGCGCUGACAGCACAUCCUGCCCCUGGCCACUGGAAACACAAGCACAGGUUUAUGGCCUUACUGCAGGCUCUGGCAGCUGGAAAACAGCUGGCUGGUCCCAGGAAAAGCUUUAUUCCAGCUGGGCAGGGUCUGGGCUCUGCAGCACAGGGACAAGGAUGGGGCUGGAGGCUGCUGAACAAACCAGCCUUUUUCUCCGCAGCAUAGAGGGAGCUUUGAUAAAGCGGGGAAACCCUCGGCCAGCAGCGAGGGGCUCUCUGCAAACCCUCUGCUGCCUUUGGGAACAGCCGCGGGCAGGGCUGGCAUCUCCAGCCUUGNUCCCAUCCCCCAGAUCCUCAGGGUUUCCCAGAUCAGGGCACUUUCAGAACCUCCUCAGAGCACUCCCCAGCUUGGUCAUGUUUGAUUCUCUUUUUCCCUGGACUGGGAGCCUGAGCAGACGUGGGUGAUGCUCGUGUGAGCCACUGCACUCCAAGCAGAUAGAUCCCCACACCCUGGGUUUAUUUUUCUGGGAGUAUUUUAGAGUAGAAUCUGCUUCUGGAGGUGUGUGAAAGAGGGGGGCCCUGAAUAGCUUCUCUCUCUAUUUCAAGUGGAUAUUCAGCAUGAAAUAGGUUGCCCCUGUUAAAGCUUCAGCCUGGUGUGAGCAGUGCUCUCAUGUUCCCCUUUUGUGCUGAGAUCAGUCCCAGGGCAGGAGACAGCUGAGGGUUUAGACCUGUGAUAGAGACCUCUCUUCCUCAAAAAGCUCCAACUUUAAAAAGAAUAGCUUGAGAUAUUGUAAAUCUUCACCUGGCCUUCCUAUUUCUGGCCAAGUGGAGAAGCAAGGGGCUCCUGAAGGCUUUCCAUCCCCCACUGCACAGACCAGCUGGGGGAGGAAAAUGGGUGUCAAAAUGGCACCAAGUCCCCAUGUCAAGCUUGGCCAAAAAAACCCCAAAAAACUGAGAACCAAAAAGAAAACAACCAAAAAAACAAACCUAUAUAUGUGUAUGUAUAUAUAUAAUUUUAAAACUCCAAAAAUCAAACCUAUUACAUACAUUUUAAAAAAUAUAAUAAUAU
RNAcentral lists this long non-coding RNA (1381 nucleotides) under Zonotrichia albicollis (white-throated sparrow). RNAcentral describes it as "lncRNA (ENSZALG00000007320.1)". The record is from RNAcentral. Lineage: Eukaryota; Metazoa; Chordata; Aves; Passeriformes; Passerellidae.